AAUAAGUGCAGUUUUGCACUAUUCACGUUCAACGUUUGACCGUCCGUCUUAUUUAAAAAAUUUGUGAAAAAAUUAAAAACAUUUAGUCACACAUAAAGUACUAUUCAUGUUUUAUUAUCUAAUAGCAAUAAAAAUACUAAUCAUAAAAAAUUUUCAAAUAAGAUGGACGGUCAAACGUUGAACAUGAAUAGUGUAAAACUGUACUUAUU
RNAcentral lists this microRNA precursor (209 nucleotides) under Oryza sativa Japonica Group (Japanese rice). Its description in RNAcentral is "MIR812 microRNA precursor family". It matches the Rfam family "MIR812 microRNA precursor family". The record is from Rfam by way of RNAcentral. Lineage: Eukaryota; Viridiplantae; Streptophyta; Magnoliopsida; Poales; Poaceae.